CACGUAGGGAGCAAGCGUUGUCCGGAUUUAUUGGGCGUAAAGAGCUCGUAGGCUGUUCGAUAAGUCGGGUGUGAAACCUCCAGCUCAACCUGGAGACGCCACCCGAUACUGUCAUGACUAGAGUUCGGUAGGGGAGACUGGAAUUCCUGGUGUAGCGGUGAAAUGCGCAGAUAUCAAGAGGAACACCAGUGGCGAAGGCGAGUCCCUGGACAACACCUGACACUGAGGCACGAAAGCUAGGGGAGCAAACAGG
This 253-nucleotide ribosomal RNA is filed under the name uncultured bacterium. RNAcentral describes it as "partial 16S ribosomal RNA". It matches the Rfam family "Bacterial small subunit ribosomal RNA", at positions 524 to 776 of the family's 1533-position model. The record is from RNAcentral.